This 598-nucleotide long non-coding RNA is filed under the name Gallus gallus (chicken). RNAcentral's name for it is "lncRNA (ENSGALG00010019656.1)". Lineage: Eukaryota; Metazoa; Chordata; Aves; Galliformes; Phasianidae. The record is from RNAcentral.
AAUCAUUAAGGUUGGAAAUACCACUAAGAUCAUCUAGUCUGACCAUCAGCCUGCGCCUGUGACCACUCUAGACCGUGUCCACGCCCUUCUGUGCAUCACCUACCCGUUUCUUGAAUAGCUCCACCACAUCCCUGGGCAGCCUGUUCCAAUACCUCACCACUCUUUCUGAGAAUAAUUUUUUCCUAAUAUCCAACCUAAGGAAGAGAGUGAUGCUGGUGUAAUAUCCUAUGCUCGUCUGGGAUGUGGAGCCUGAAGAGAAUGGUGCUGACGGGGUCAGGCAGAAGUGAAGAACGGCAGCAGUGGCAAAUGCAAAGACCCCUCACUCUUAACACCUCUUUCUCAUGCUUAAGACUUGAAAAGCAUCCCUGCUGCUGUUCCAGGAUCUGUAAGUCAAGGUGAUGAGGAGGAGAGGGGUGUGAUGAAGGAACGUAGUGUUUGUGGAGGUCCUGGCCAAGGUACGGUGCUCCAGCAAUGGGAUGCAGCAGUGUGCUUAAUGAGCCUGUGCUUGCAGCACUGGUUGUUGCUAGGUGGAAGUGGUGUCAGCCCAGAGUCAUCCUGCCCAAGAUCCCCUCAUGUUUGCAGGGGUGCAUCCCUGAGA